This 460-nucleotide ribosomal RNA is filed under the name uncultured bacterium. Its description in RNAcentral is "partial 16S ribosomal RNA". It matches the Rfam family "Bacterial small subunit ribosomal RNA", at positions 338 to 795 of the family's 1533-position model. The record is from RNAcentral.
CCUACGGGAGGCAGCAGUGAGGAAUAUUGGUCAAUGGACGCGAGCCUGAACCAGCCAAGCCGCGUGCAGGAUGACUGCCCUACGGAUUGUAAACUUCUUUUAUACGGGAAUAAAGUCAGGCACGCGUGCCUUUUUGUAUGUACUUUAUGAAUAAGGAUCGGCUAACUCCGUGCCAGCAGCCGCGGUAAUACGGAGGAUCCGAGCGUUAUCCGGAUUUAUUGGGUUUAAAGGGUGCGUAGAUGGGUGGGUAAGUCAGUGGUGAAAUUUUGUGGCUCAACUGUGAAAUUGCAUCUGAUACUGGUAGGCUUGAGAACAGUUGCGGUAGGCGGAAUUUGUGGUGUAGCGGUGAAAUGCUUAGAGAUCACGAAGAACACCGAUUGCGAAGGCAGCUUACUAAGCUGCUUCUGACAUUGAGGCACGAAAGUGUGGGGAUCAAACAGGAUUAGAUACCCCUGUAGUC